Non-coding RNA from Pelobates cultripes (western spadefoot toad), 398 nucleotides. The record is from the annotation of a GenBank genome assembly. Lineage: Eukaryota; Metazoa; Chordata; Amphibia; Anura; Pelobatidae.
GGUGACCGUGGCGGUGUACGUGGAAGCGGUGGUGGAGGAGGAGGAUGAGGUAGUCAACACUGUUAUAUAUAUAUUUUUUUAAAUUGGAGUAGUCCCCAAAAUAUAGGGACAUAUAAAAAAGACAACUCUCUUCCGCAGAGUAGCUAUUGACAUUAUAGUUGCGCAGGAACUUUGUUGACUCUAGAGAACCUCGGGCCAAUCGCACAUCCUCAUGACGGCGACUUUGCAUUUGGAUGUCAUCCAUAUCAACUUUUGGUGCCAGUUUCUGCACCUACCAUGGUGACCACGGGUAAUGGGGAAUCAGAGUUCCAUUCCAUACAGGGACCCUGAGAAAUGGCUACCACAUGCAAGGAAGGCAGCAGGCGCGCAAAUGACCCACUCCCGACGCGGGAAGGUAG